GGGUACAAAUAUGACGUCUGGCUUCGCGGCCGGCUGAAUAUUUUUUUCACCCAUGUCUUUUGCGCACUUGUUGUUUCCUGGGCGGGUUCGCCCGCCACCAGGACCAAACCAUAAACCUUUUUUUUUAUGCAGUUGCAAUCAGCGUCAGUAAAAACAAUGUAAUUAAUUACAACUUUCAACAACGGAUCUCUUGGUUCUGGCAUCGAUGAAGAACGCAGCGAAAUGCGAUACGUAGUGUGAAUUGCAGAAUUCAGUGAAUCAUCGAAUCUUUGAACGCACAUUGCGCCCUUUGGUAUUCCAAAGGGCAUGCCUGUUCGAGCGUCAUUUGUACCUUCAAGCUUUGCUUGGUGUUGGGCGUUUUUGUCUCCCUCUUUCUGGGAGACUCGCCUUAAAACGAUUGGCAGCCGGCCUACUGGUUUCGGAGCGCAGCACAUAAUUUGCGCUUUGUAUCAGGAGAAAAGGACGGUAAUCCAUCAAGACUCUACAUUUUUAACUUUUGACCUCGGAUCAGGUAGGGAUACCCGCUGAACUUAAGCAUAUCAUAACACGGGAAAGGAAG
This 559-nucleotide ribosomal RNA is filed under the name fungal sp. RNAcentral describes it as "eukaryotic LSU rRNA". The stretch from base 171 to 324 matches the Rfam family "5.8S ribosomal RNA". The record is from RNAcentral. Lineage: Eukaryota; Fungi.